Long non-coding RNA from Betta splendens (Siamese fighting fish), 727 nucleotides. RefSeq lists it as uncharacterized. Lineage: Eukaryota; Metazoa; Chordata; Actinopteri; Anabantiformes; Osphronemidae. The transcript is spliced from 2 exons. The record is from RefSeq and is a predicted model, not a curated record.
AAGUGAAAUGGAUGUUAGUUCUGACCUUCUGUGUUAUCCAUUCUCUGCCAUGCUGAUAGACAUUAGUGGCAGCUGAGUUGAGAGCUUUAUGGACCACACGAGCCUCUGGGAGCCAACUGGAGGGAGAAUUGAAGGCAAAAGACAAGAUCGGCAUCAAACUGCAGUGAAUGGAGAUAAGCGCGACAGUACCAUGGCAGUGAGCAGCAGCGCCAUGAGCAGCGUCCCUGUGACCAGGAGGAAGAUGAUGAAGAUGCUGAUGAUUUUAUCCAGCGAUCGCUCCAGCCACACGAUCAUCUACACGCACAGUGAGGACAGAGCAGAGGAGGGGAGGUGGCAGAGAAGUCAGUGCUUGGCUAAAACAGAGUCAUCACAAACAUGGAGAAACCUGCGUCUCCCUUGAGUCUAAAAGCUGCUGCUUUGGGCCCUGACGAAGAGAAGGUCAUUGACUGACUGAGCAAACAUCCCUGAUUAUGCACUACACCGUCUGACCUUUCUACUACAAUUACUACAGUUUGGAGGAGGUUUUUUCUGAUGCAAGGUGCUUAAAGCCUCAACUCAGGUUUCUCAAUGCUCCAAAACUGCAGCAACACGUUUGUGUGUUAAUGUCUCCAAACCACGUUAACAAGUUCCUGGAGUCGAUGGUGCAUUAGUUUGCAGUUACUGUAGGUUUGAUGUUGUUUGACUAGUGAAGUGCCAGAUGCAGAAUAAAAUAAAAACCCUACGCUAA